RNAcentral lists this ribosomal RNA (419 nucleotides) under uncultured bacterium. Its description in RNAcentral is "bacterial SSU rRNA". It matches the Rfam family "Bacterial small subunit ribosomal RNA", at positions 355 to 774 of the family's 1533-position model. The record is from RNAcentral.
UGGGGAAUAUCGCGCAAUGGCCGAAAGGCUGACGCAGCGACGCCGCGUGGGGGAUGAAGCAUUUCGGUGUGUAAACCCCUGUUGCCCGGGACGAACAAGCAGAUUUUUCUGCUCUGACGGUACCGGGUGAGGAAGCACCGGCUAACUCCGUGCCAGCAGCCGCGGUAAUACGGAGGGUGCGAGCGUUGUCCGGAAUCACUGGGCGUAAAGGGCGCGUAGGCGGUCUGCUAAGCGUGCGGUGAAAGCCCGGGGCUCAACCCCGGGUCUGCCGUGCNAACUGGUGGACUAGAGCACUGUAGAGGCAGGUGGAAUUCCGGGUGUAGCGGUGGAAUGCGUAGAGAUCCGGAAGAACACCGGUGGCGAAGGCGGCCUGCUGGGCAGUAGCUGACGCUGAGGCGCGACAGCGUGGGGAGCAAACA